This is a long non-coding RNA of Nicotiana tabacum (common tobacco), 958 nucleotides long. RefSeq lists it as uncharacterized. Lineage: Eukaryota; Viridiplantae; Streptophyta; Magnoliopsida; Solanales; Solanaceae. The record is from RefSeq and is a predicted model, not a curated record.
GGGAGAGAAGCUAAAAAAAGAGACCUAGGACAAAAAAAAGCGGACAACCGCAGACAUAGCAGACAACCGCAGACCUAGCCCCACCUCUCACGUCUCCUUCUUCGCACCACCCAACCAGACUUGGACCCCUGAUCUCCUACGCUAAACCAGCCACCACAGUUCGCCGGAAACCUCCAUCUCACACUAGCGAGCCAUCCCUCCAAGCCACCCCAUCGUCGACCACCAUUGAAACUAACGACCCAUCACUACCGGUUAUCUUCUUCACAAAACACGCACACUCACGCUGAAAACACACACAGCAAGAGAUCCCCUGCUAAAUUUCAUCUUUUUCUACACUUCAAGGACACACCUGAAGAUUUCCAGCCAAAAAGGACCACAAAUUCUGACAACUCUUAAGAAAAGAGAAAAUUCCUACAACGCGGUUUAGUCCAAAAAAUUCCUACAAUAGUGGAGGACCAAACUCUAGCGAAAAUUAGUCGAGUAACCGAGUUCCGUCAAAAGAUCCGGUGAGUCGGUCUAGUUUGAGGUCCAGACUCAUUUACUUGUUAGUUCUCUAGCGGUUAGCUGGUCUAUAAUAGAGGGAUGUGCACGCUGGUGUGACUCCUCUUCUGUUAGUGUCAUACCUUAAAUUAGGAAUAGGCUCGGACAAGUUACAAAAUCGGAUGGCCUUUUGGUUCCCGUUUUGUCAUACAGGUGUGGAUCUACUUACCGGAGUUUGAGCAUGACAGAUAUCCCAGGACUACUGCAUUAAGGAGCUGCCUGAGGAUUUUUUUUUUUUUGAGUCUAUUGUUCAUGUUUUACUUUCUAGUGUUGUAUAGUAGUGUUCAGUCAUUUAGUUGAUGCUAGAGUCUAUCAUAGUCUAGUUAAGUUUAUCGAGUCUUUUGUUAUUAUUUCGUAUUUGGUAUUUGAAAAAUGUAUCAUAAAUCAAAAAUCCAAGAAAGAGAUAUUUUGCAUUUUA